GGUCAAGCUACAAGGCUCACGGCGAUACCUUGUCACACAAAGCGAUGAAGAAGUAGUUACUCUGCGAUAGUCUCGGGAGCUGGAGACACGCUUGCAUCU
This 99-nucleotide ribosomal RNA is filed under the name uncultured Synechococcus sp. Its description in RNAcentral is "partial 23S ribosomal RNA". The record is from RNAcentral. Lineage: Bacteria; Bacillati; Cyanobacteriota; Cyanophyceae; Synechococcales; Synechococcaceae.